RNAcentral lists this ribosomal RNA (305 nucleotides) under uncultured bacterium. RNAcentral describes it as "bacterial SSU rRNA". It matches the Rfam family "Bacterial small subunit ribosomal RNA", at positions 432 to 751 of the family's 1533-position model. The record is from RNAcentral.
GUUGUCGCAGGGGAAGAAGACAGUGACGGUACCCUGUGAGAAAGUCACGGCUAACUACGUGCCAGCAGCCGCGGUAAUACGUAGGUGACAAGCGUUGUCCGGAUUUACUGGGUGUAAAGGGCGCGUAGGCGGGAUAGCAAGUCAGUCGUGAAAUGCCGAGGCUUAACCUCGGAGCUGCGAUUGAAACUGUUAUUCUUGAGUAUCGGAGAGGAAAGCGGAAUUCCUAGUGUAGCGGUGAAAUGCGUAGAUAUUAGGAGGAACACCAGUGGCGAAGGCGGCUUUCUGGACGACAACUGACGCUGAGG